This 240-nucleotide unclassified non-coding RNA is filed under the name soil metagenome. RNAcentral's name for it is "partial contains 5.8S ribosomal RNA, internal transcribed spacer 2, and large subunit ribosomal RNA". The record is from RNAcentral.
AACCAUAGAAACCUGCGGAGUACCUGCGGAGGGAUCAUUACAGAGUUGCAAGACUCCCUAAACCAUUGUGAACGUUACCUAAACCGUUGCUUCGGCGGGCGGCCCGGGUCCUUCCCGGCGCCCCUCGGCCCUCGCGGGCGCCCGCCGGAGGUAAACCAAACUAUUGCAUUGUAUGGCCUCUCUGAGUCUUCUGUACUGAAUAAGUCAAAACUUUCAACAAUGGAUCUCAGAUCGGAAGAG